RNAcentral lists this long non-coding RNA (1787 nucleotides) under Calidris pugnax (ruff). RNAcentral's name for it is "lncRNA (ENSCPUG00000002044.1)". The record is from RNAcentral. Lineage: Eukaryota; Metazoa; Chordata; Aves; Charadriiformes; Scolopacidae.
AAUAAGAACAGUAUCUUAAACAGGAUUAAAAUAUAACAUUUUUACUAGUUAUUUCAAAGAAUAGAUUUUUUUUUCUUCUGUCAUUCUUCUCUAUAUGUUCAGACUCCAGCUAAACUCCAAAAAGCAAUGUUUUGUUAAGUAACAAGUGCAAAUAUUGUCUUUUUUUUUCCUUUCCCUUGCAUGGUAGGCUACAUUGCAUUUCUCAUGCCUAAAAACAAGCACCGUCUCUCAAAAUAUUUGGUCGGAAACCUCAGCUUGAAAAGGAGGUAUUUGACAGAAAGGUUACAUUCCAUUGGCGUGGCAUGCGAACAGCUUCUACAGACAAACAUUGGAGGAAUCUCAUGGAGAACCUGUGCAAAGGGAAAGCAAACACAAUCACAGGAGCAGAAGUCCACUUCCUGCCAGAGCAGAACCAACAGCCAUGACCACCCAAGAUCUCGUGGUGGAACUUCAACGAUAGCAACAGCAGACGAAUGAGGAAUGCCAAUCACCUCCUUACUAAUUGUACACAUUUACCUGUCAACUCUUUGUAUCUUGUGAGAUGUAUUCGUAUCGUUCUCAAAACUAAUUUCAUCUUAUCCUGAAAAAAAAGUUUGCGUAAUACAAGAGGACACUUUUGUUAUGUGACCAUGUAUCUUCUUUUUCCUCCAUCACAUUGGAGAAGAGGACUUUGCUCUGUGCUGCUACCGUCUUUUCGGUAUUGGUGACUAGGAACAGUGGCAUUCCUCAGCUCCUUAUUCAAGUUGUAACACAACACACUCACUACUUCAAAGUACAAAAAGAAAUCAUAAGCAGGUCCCAAAAUUUAUGUAGAGUAUUUUACAAGUAAUGCUUACUUGAAGUUUUUUGAAACAAUUCUGUCUGUGUGUUCUGACACCCUUUGCCCUUCACAGACCCGUUUAUGCAUAUUAGCCUCGUAAAAGAGUCACUUUUUAUCCUCUUCACCAUGAUCCAUUUGUCUUUUCAGCAGGUUUAUGUUCAACACUCUGGGAGUGGAAUGGUGAUUGUACCAUUUAACCCAACAGCUAGCUGGGCUUGAAAGUGUAUCCAUCCCCUUCCUAUUAAUUACUCAUUAAUGCCUAUUUCUAUCACACAGACUCGUGUAUCACCCUGGUUUAUUUCGGAGGAAUAUAGCCAUAGGAUGACAAUUAUUGAUGGAGCAUAAAAACCAGAGCUAAAGACCGUAUAAAAAGGAAAACCGAACUGAUGUGGGAAGAGAUGAAAAGAUGAAAAAUUGCUUAGAGAAGAAAAUCAGAAUGAGCUAAUUUACAAAAGAAAACGAACAAAUCACGGCUAGGUAACUCUGAAUAAGAUUAAUUGCUACACAUCUCCUUCCUCUUUGCAAUUUUUAUCUUAUUUAAUCUUCUAUUCCACUUUUCUAUUUAACAGUGCUAUACUCUUAUAAACUCCAAUUCCACUCUUAUGCAAGUUUGCUCUCUGGGUGUUGAGCGAGAUCCUCUGUUUGCAUAAACUGGUAUAACACUAUCAGCUUUGGUAUUGUUACUCAAAUUUAAGCCAGUCGAGGAUUUGCUCCAUUGACUUUCAUGGAUUUAUUUUUAAUUUAUUACUCUGAGUUCAGAAUCAAGAGCUUUGGAUAUAAAUCUUGAACAUAAAUAGACAAUUUCCAUAUCUAAACAGUAUAGCCACAAGUACCGUACAGAAAAACAAGCUGGGCAUGUCUGAAAAGUUCAUGUCUGAAAAGUUAAGCAAAUGUUGCUGUGCGUUUAUUAGUAGUUUACUGUUUAUUAAACAAUAAAUCAAGAUCCAAAAAAACCUAAUUAAUUUAA